AACAACGCUGGCGGCGUGCCUAACACAUGCAAGUCGUACGAGAAAUUCGCUUCGGCGAAUGAGUAAAGUGGCGCACGGGUGAGUAACGCGUGGAUAAUCUGCCCUGUAGUCGGGAAUAACUCACCGAAAGGUGGGAUAAUACCCGAUAAACUGUUUUACCUCGGUGGAACAGUCAAAGAUAGCCUCUGUAUACAAGCUUUCACUAAAGGAUGAGUCCGCGUACCAUUAGCUAGUUGGUAGGGUAACGGCCUACCAAGGCAACGAUGGUUAGCUGGUCUGAGAGGAUGAUCAGCCACACUGGAACUGAGACACGGUCCAGACUCCUACGGGUGGCAG
Molecule: ribosomal RNA, 336 nt
Filed under: uncultured Pseudomonadota bacterium
Lineage: Bacteria; Pseudomonadati; Pseudomonadota
Description: bacterial SSU rRNA
Rfam family: Bacterial small subunit ribosomal RNA
Source: RNAcentral